UACAGAGGGUGCAAGCGUUAAUCGGAAUGACUGGGCGUAAAGAGCUCGUAGGCGGCUAGAUGUGUCAUAGGUGAAAUCCCCGGGCUUAACCUGGGAACUGCCUGUGAAACUGUGUAGCUAGAAUAUAAGAGAGGUAAGUGGAAUUUCCGGGGUAGCGGUGAAAUGCGUAGAUAUCGGAAAGAACACCAGUGGCGAAGGCGACUUACUGGCUUAAUAUUGACGCUGAGGAGCGAAAGCGUGGGGAGCAAACAGG
Molecule: ribosomal RNA, 253 nt
Filed under: uncultured bacterium
Lineage: Bacteria
Description: partial 16S ribosomal RNA
Rfam family: Bacterial small subunit ribosomal RNA
Source: RNAcentral